Molecule: ribosomal RNA, 425 nt
Filed under: uncultured bacterium
Lineage: Bacteria
Description: partial 16S ribosomal RNA
Rfam family: Bacterial small subunit ribosomal RNA
Source: RNAcentral
GUGGGGAAUCUUGCGCAAUGGGCGAAAGCCUGACGCAGCCAUGCCGCGUGAAUGAUGAAGGUCUUAGGAUUGUAAAAUUCUUUCACCGGGGACGAUAAUGACGGUACCCGGAGAAGAAGCUCCGGCUAACUUCGUGCCAGCAGCCGCGGUAAUACGAAGGGGGCUAGCGUUGCUCGGAAUUACUGGUCGUAAAGGGCGCGUAGGCGGACAGCUUAGUCAGAGGUGAAAGCCCAGGGCUCAACCUUGGAAUUGCCUUUGAUACUGGCUGUCUUGAGUUUGGGAGAGGUGAGUGGAACUCCGAGUGUAGAGGUGAAAUUCGUAGAUAUUCGGAAGAACACCAGUGGCGAAGGCGACUCACUGGCCCAAUACUGACGCUGAGGCGCGAAAGCGUGGGGAGCAAACAGGAUUAGAUACCCUGGUAGUCC